UACAGAGGGGGCGAGCGUUGUUCGGAAUUACUGGGCGUAAAGGGCGCGUAGGCGGCCAACUAAGUCAGACGUGAAAUCCCUCGGCUCAACCGGGGAACUGCGUCUGAUACUGGAUGGCUUGAAUUCGGGAGAGGGAUGCGGAAUUCCAGGUGUAGCGGUGAAAUGCGUAGAUAUCUGGAGGAACACCAGCGGCGAAGGCGGCAUCCUGGACUGGUCCUGACACUCAGGAGCGAAAGCGUGGGGAGCGAUCCGG
Molecule: ribosomal RNA, 253 nt
Filed under: uncultured bacterium
Lineage: Bacteria
Description: partial 16S ribosomal RNA
Rfam family: Bacterial small subunit ribosomal RNA
Source: RNAcentral